RNAcentral lists this transfer RNA (66 nucleotides) under Zygeupolia rubens. RNAcentral describes it as "tRNA-Arg". The record is from RNAcentral. Lineage: Eukaryota; Metazoa; Nemertea; Pilidiophora; Heteronemertea; Lineidae.
UGGCAAAAAGCACUGUUGGUGUUUAUGAUUUCGGCUCGUAAGGAGGAUAAAAAUUUCCUUUGCUUU